GCCGGAGUGGCGAAAUUGGUAUACGCAGGGGACUCAAAAUCCCCCGGCUUCACGGCCGUGCGGGUUCGACUCCCGCCUCCGGCACCA
Molecule: transfer RNA, 87 nt
Filed under: Deltaproteobacteria bacterium
Lineage: Bacteria; Pseudomonadati; Myxococcota; Myxococcia
Also listed under: 2 other names
Description: tRNA-Leu
Rfam family: tRNA
About the family: Transfer RNA (tRNA) molecules are approximately 80 nucleotides in length. Their secondary structure includes four short double-helical elements and three loops (D, anti-codon, and T loops).
Source: RNAcentral